GGCAGGAGAGCAAAUAGCUUGGCUGAGAGGUGAUUGCAAUUGUUCAGCAGCUGGGCAGGAGAGCAAACAGCUUUGAGGCUGCAGGAAAGAGGGCUGGGUGCAGUUGGGUCUGCCAGUUGACCGUCGGCAACGGUUAGGGGUUUUGGAUGACCGUAGGCAAAGGUUAGGUGUCAUGGACCCUGCCCCCGGACCCCCGGCCUGCUCCUGGACGAGGCCACUGCCAGGACCGGUCUACACCCGUGGACGAGAGGACCACUCAGUCAAUCCCAGGAUUUCACUAAUUUCCAGCUUAUAAGUGACACUUGCAUCGGUACGGAAGAUAUUCAUCGUCCUCGACGAACGGUUGA
RNAcentral lists this long non-coding RNA (347 nucleotides) under Ornithorhynchus anatinus (platypus). RNAcentral describes it as "lncRNA (ENSOANG00000037671.1)". Lineage: Eukaryota; Metazoa; Chordata; Mammalia; Monotremata; Ornithorhynchidae. The record is from RNAcentral.